RNAcentral lists this ribosomal RNA (393 nucleotides) under uncultured bacterium. RNAcentral's name for it is "partial 16S ribosomal RNA". It matches the Rfam family "Bacterial small subunit ribosomal RNA", at positions 523 to 918 of the family's 1533-position model. The record is from RNAcentral.
AUACGGAGGAUCCGAGCGUUAUCCGGAUUUAUUGGGUUUAAAGGGUGCGCAGGCGGGAGAUUAAGUCGGCGGUGAAAUUUUGCAGCUCAACUGUAAAAGUGCCUUCGAUACUGGUUUCCUUGAGUGUGGAUGAAGUAGGCGGAAUUUGUGGUGUAGCGGUGAAAUGCUUAGAUAUCACGAGGAACUCCGAUUGCGCAGGCAGCUUACUAAACCACUACUGACGCUCAGGCACGAAGGCGUGGGGAUCAAACAGGAUUAGAUACCCUGGUAGUCCACGCAGUAAACGAUGAUUACUGGCUGUUUGCGAUACAAUGUAAGCGGCUGAGCGAAAGCGUUAAGUAAUCCACCUGGGGAGUACGUUCGCAAGAAUGAAACUCAAAUGAAUUGACGGGG